CCAAUAGCGUAUAUUAAAGUUGUUGCAGUUAAAAAGCUCGUAGUUGAAUUUCGGAAUCUGUCCAUCGGUCGAGCUUCACUGUUCGUACUGGUGUGGUGGGUUCUUACCUUCUGAAUAACCAGCAUGCCAUUCAUUUGGUGCGCUGGGGAAGCAGGACUAUUACCUUGAAAAAAUUAGAGUGCUCAAAGCAGGCCAGCGCCUGAAUACAUUAGCAUGGAAUAAUAAAAUAGGACGGCAUGGUUCUAUUUUGUUGGUUUCUAGGAUCACCGUAAUGAUUAAUAGGGAUAGUUGGGGGCAUUAGUAUUCAAUUGUCAGAGGUGAAAUUCUUGGAUUUAUUGAAGACUAACUUCUGCGAAAGCAUUUGCCAAGGAUGUUUUCAUUAAUCAAGAACGAAAGUUAGGGGAUCGAAGACGAUCAGAUACCGUCGUAGUCUUAACCAUAAACUAUGCCGACUAGGGAUCGGACGAUGUUAAUUUUUUAAUGACUCGUUCGGCGCCUUACG
This 502-nucleotide ribosomal RNA is filed under the name uncultured Glomeromycotina. RNAcentral's name for it is "partial small subunit ribosomal RNA". It matches the Rfam family "Eukaryotic small subunit ribosomal RNA", at positions 591 to 1092 of the family's 1831-position model. The record is from RNAcentral. Lineage: Eukaryota; Fungi; Glomeromycota.